GACGAACGCUGGCGGCGUGCCUAACACAUGCAAGUCGAACGGAAAGGCCCUGCUUUUGUGGGGUGCUCGAGUGGCGAACGGGUGUGUAACACGUGAGUAACCUGCCCUUGACUGUGGGAUAUCUUCAGGAAACUGGGGCUAAUACCGGAUAGGAGCUCCUGCUGCAUGGGGGUGGUUGGAAAGUUUCGGCGGUGGUGGAUCGACUCGCGGCUUAUCAGCUGGUUGGUGGGGUAGUGGCUUACCCAGGCUUUGACGGGUAGCCGGCCUGGGAGGUUGACCGGCCACAUGGCGCCUGCGGUACGGACCAGACUGCUACGUGAGGCAGUGGUCGGGAACAUUGCACAAUGGGGGGACGCCUGUUACAGCGACGCCCCGUGCGGGAUGCCGGCUUUCUGGUUGUAAACCGCUUUCGCAUGUGACGAAGCGUGAGUGACGGUACUGGGUAAAGAAGCACCGGCUAACUACGUG
Molecule: ribosomal RNA, 468 nt
Filed under: uncultured bacterium
Lineage: Bacteria
Description: partial 16S ribosomal RNA
Rfam family: Bacterial small subunit ribosomal RNA
Source: RNAcentral